This 253-nucleotide ribosomal RNA is filed under the name uncultured bacterium. RNAcentral's name for it is "partial 16S ribosomal RNA". It matches the Rfam family "Bacterial small subunit ribosomal RNA", at positions 524 to 776 of the family's 1533-position model. The record is from RNAcentral.
UACGGGGGGGGCAAGCGUUGUUCGGAAUUACUGGGCGUAAAGGGUUCGUAGGUGGCCAACUAAGUCAGACGUGAAAUCCCUCAGCUUAACUGGGGAACUGCGUCUGAUACUGGUUGGCUUGAGUGCAGGAGAGGAACGCGGAAUUCCAGGUGUAGCGGUGAAAUGCGUAGAUAUCUGGAGGAACACCGGUGGCGAAGGCGGCGUUCUGGACUGCAACUGACACUGAGGAACGAAAGCCUGGGUAGCAAACGGG